Molecule: unclassified non-coding RNA, 295 nt
Filed under: uncultured fungus
Lineage: Eukaryota; Fungi
Description: sequence contains ITS2
Source: RNAcentral
AACGCACCUUGCACCCUUUGGUAUCCCAAAGGGUACACCCGUUUGAGUGUCAUUGUAAUAUCUCACCAUCCAACUUCUUGUUGCAUGUGUGGACUUGGAUGCUGCUGUGUCGCAAUGGCUCAUCUGAAAUGUCUGAGUACAUCCUGAGUUGUGAUGUGUUCGGUGUGAUAAAUCUUCACCGUACUUGACCUAUGGUCACGCUCACUUGACUCUGGCUCUGUGCUUCCAACCGUCCUAGUCGGACAAAAUUUGACAAUUUGACCUCAAAUCGGGUGGGACUACCCGCUGAACUUAA